GAAAUAAAUACAAGCACUGCUUUUUAUGCUCACGACAAUAAGGAGUGUGCAGAUUUGACAGCGUCACAGCUUGUUUUUGCUUCCGUGUGCGCACUCCGCACCGGCUCUUUCUUCUGGCGAGGAAUCUGAACGUGACACGGGAAAAUGCUCAUUACUGCCACCUAGACUCUGGAGGACCGGAGGUCAGUUCAGACAGUGUCUCGCACAAGCCGCUAGAUGUCACCGCCGCCAUUUUGGACGAGGAGAGCAAAAAAGAAUUCUAUUUUGUUUCAGGACUCCUCGAAAACUAUCCUCUUUUAAUCAGAAAUCCACCUCACAUCAAGCUUUUUUCAGCCUUUUCCGGACCAUCAAAUGACUGAUUAAGGAUAAUCAAACACAGCAAUAAUGUAGACCUAAGCACUUGGAGAGGAUGUUACAUCAGAAAUCCACCUCACAUCAAGCUUUUUCCGCCUCUUUCGGACCAUAAAAUGACUGAUUAAGGAUAAUCAAGCACAGCAAUAAUGUAGGCCUAUGCACUUGGAGAGGAUGUUACAUCAGAUAUCCACCUCACAUCAAGCUUUUUCCGCCUCUUCCGGACCAUAAAAUGACUGAUUAAGGAUAAUUAAGCACAGCAAUAAUGUAGGCCUAUGCACUUGGAGAGAAUGUUACAUCAGAAAUCCACCUCACAUCAAGCUUUUUCCGCCUCUUCCGGACCAUAAAAUGACUGAUUAAGGAUAAUCAAACACAGCAAUAAUGUAGGCCUAUGCACUUGGAGAGGAUGUUACAUCAGAAAUCCACCUCACGUCAAGCUUUUUCCGCCUCUUCCGGACCAUAAAAUGACUGAUUAAGGAUAAUCAAGCACAGCAAUAAUGUAGGCCUAUGCACUUGGAGAGGAUGUUACAUCAGAAAUCCACCUCACAUCAAGGUUUUUCCGCCUCUUCCGGACCAUAAAAUGACUGAUUAAGGAUAAUCAAACACAGCAAUAAUGUAGGCCUAUGCACUUGGAGAGGAUGUUACUUCAGAAAUCCACCUCACGUCAAGCUUUUGUCAGCCUUUUCCGGACCAUAAAAUGACUGAUUGAGGAUAAUCAAGCAUAGCAAUAAUGUAGGCCUAAGCACUUGGAGAGGAUGUUACAUCAGAUGCACAGUCUGACAUGCCUCUGCUUUUAAUGCGCCCGUUUCACAGACGUACUGCCUUUAAAGCAGCUGUUUCUGUGCGCACUCACUAAAUGGCCUGGUGUUGGAGAUCGGGAAUCUUUGAGUCCUGCAGAGCCGGGAACAUCCAAAAGAG
Molecule: long non-coding RNA, 1269 nt
Organism: Nerophis lumbriciformis (worm pipefish)
Lineage: Eukaryota; Metazoa; Chordata; Actinopteri; Syngnathiformes; Syngnathidae
Source: RefSeq, a predicted model, not a curated record